This is a long non-coding RNA of Sinocyclocheilus grahami, 530 nucleotides long. RefSeq lists it as uncharacterized. The record is from RefSeq and is a predicted model, not a curated record. The transcript is spliced from 3 exons. Lineage: Eukaryota; Metazoa; Chordata; Actinopteri; Cypriniformes; Cyprinidae.
UGCGGUGCAAGACGGGCUCGGGUUCGGUGCGCCCAAAUGUGUUGGCUUAUGAAGACUGGGUCGAUAAACCGCUGCGUAAAGUGUGCGUCUUUGAGCGCUCGGACAGCUCAAAAAACCCCGAUAAACCCCAUAGAGCAGCGAAACAGUUCACCGACAGACGCAACCAAACCCGUUGGCUCCCGAUGAGGGUGGAGAGGGCAGAGCUGGCGAAACUGAUUGGUUUUCGAUUUUAACGAAGAUCCGCCUUAUUUGACUCAGAACCGACUCGGCUUUUUCCCAGGAGAGAAAAGCAAGUUUGUGUGCGAGGACGCUGUCACCAGUGGUGGGGGGACUGACUGGGUGGACACUGGUGCACGGAGGGGGUGGUGUUUGUUUGGAGGGGGGGUAACAAUCUGCGCGAACCUGGCCCUUUAAAUUACCUCCACAAUCACAGUAGACGAGACAAGCAAAGUUGCCUGCAGGUCCCUGAGCCAGCUUCAGUCUCUAGCCUGUCCAUCAUCCAGAAUUUUCUUCUUUUAUUCGUCACAAUA